AGAUCCAGAUGCUGAAGUUAUUGCACUCUCACCAAAGUCACUCAUGGCAACAAACAGAUUCAUAUGUGAGAUUUGCAAUAAGGGUUUUCAAAGGGACCAAAAUUUGCAACUUCAUAGAAGAGGACACAAUCUUCCAUGGAAGCUAAAGCAAAGAAACAAGCUAGAACAAGUGAAGAAGAAAGUGUAUAUAUGUCCAGAAAAGACAUGUAUUCACCACGAUCCAUCGCGUGCACUUGGCGACCUAACUGGAAUUAAGAAACAUUUUAGUAGAAAACAUGGAGAAAAGAAGUGGAAAUGUGAAAAAUGUUCAAAGAAAUAUG
This 320-nucleotide unclassified non-coding RNA is filed under the name Hevea brasiliensis (rubber tree). Lineage: Eukaryota; Viridiplantae; Streptophyta; Magnoliopsida; Malpighiales; Euphorbiaceae. The record is from RNAcentral.